Molecule: ribosomal RNA, 383 nt
Filed under: uncultured eukaryote
Lineage: Eukaryota
Description: partial 18S ribosomal RNA
Rfam family: Eukaryotic small subunit ribosomal RNA
Source: RNAcentral
CAAUAGCGUAUAUUAAAGUUGUUGCAGUUAAAAAGCUCGUAGUUGGAUUUCUGGUGGGAGCGAUCGGUCUGGCGCUUAGCGCGAGUACUUGCAUCGUCUCCGGCCAUCCUUGGGGAAAGUCUGUCUGGCAUUAAGUUGUCGGGCAGAGGAUCCUCAUCGUUUACUGUGAAAAAAUUAGAGUGUUCAAAGCAGGCUUAUGCCGUUGAAUAUAUUAGCUUGGAAUAAUAAGAUAGGACUUUGGUACUAUUUUGUUGGUUUGCGCACCAAAGUAAUGAUUAAUAGGGACAGUUGGGGGUAUUCGUAUUCCGUUGUCAGAGGUGAAAUUCUUGGAUUUACGGAAGACGAACUACUGCGAAAGCAUUUACCAAGGAUGUUUUCAUUAA